Molecule: ribosomal RNA, 264 nt
Filed under: uncultured archaeon
Lineage: Archaea
Description: partial 16S ribosomal RNA
Rfam family: Archaeal small subunit ribosomal RNA
Source: RNAcentral
AGUCACUGACAUUAGAUACCCGCGUAGUCCAGGGUGUAAACGCUGCAGACUUGGUGUUGGAAGUCCUUUGGGGGCAUUCAGUGCCGGAGAGAAGUUGUUAAGUCUGCUACUUGGGAGUACGUCCGCAAGGAUGAAACUUAAAGGAAUUGGCGGGGGAGCACCGCAACGGGAGGAGCGUGCGGUUUAAUUGGAUUCAACACCGUAAAACUCACCAGGGAAGACUGUUACAUGAAAGCCGAGAUGAAGACUCUGCUAGAUUUUCAG